RNAcentral lists this unclassified non-coding RNA (317 nucleotides) under soil metagenome. RNAcentral's name for it is "partial contains 5.8S ribosomal RNA, internal transcribed spacer 2, and large subunit ribosomal RNA". The stretch from base 2 to 121 matches the Rfam family "5.8S ribosomal RNA", at positions 35 to 154 of the family's 154-position model. The record is from RNAcentral.
AGAUGAAGAACGUAGCGAAAUGCGAUAAUUAAUGUGAAUUGCAGAAUUCAGUGAAUCAUCGAGUCUUUGAACGCACAUUGCGCCCGCUGGCAUUCCGGCGGGCACGCCUGUUCGAGCGUCAUUCCAACCCCUCAAGCCUCGGCUUGGUCUUGGGCGCUGCCGCCUGGCACGCCCCAAAAUCGUCGGCGGAACGGGGCACCCCCCCAGCGUGACGCACUCGCGCAACCGGGGGUACCGCCCGCCUUACCAAGCCUACAAGUUGACCUCGGAUCAGGCGGGGAUACCCGCUGAACUUAAGCAUAUCAAUAAGCGGAGGA